AGCCCUUAAGCUUAUUAUGUGUUAAUGGAAGGCUCUGGAAAGUGCCACGAUACAGGGUGAUAGUCCCGUACAUGAAAACGCAUUUUAAGUGAAAUCGAGUAGGUCGGAGCACGUGAAACUUUGACUGAAUAUAGGUGGACCAUCAUCUAAGGCUAAAUACUCCCAACUGACCGAUAGUGAACCAGUACCGUGAGGGAAAGGCGAAAAGAACCCCUGUGAGGGGAGUGAAAUAGAACCUGAAACCGUGUACGUACAAGCAGUAGGAGCAGACUUGUUCUGUGACUGCGUACCUUUUGUAUAAUGGGUCAGCGACUUAUAUUUUGUAGCGAGGUUAACCGAUUAGGGUAGCCGUAGGGAAACCGAGUCUUAACUGGGCGAAUAGUUGCAAGGUAUAGACCCGAAACCCGGUGAUCUAGCCAUGGGCAGGUUGAAGGUUGAGUAACAUCAACUGGAGGACCGAACCCACUAACGUUGAAAAGUUAGGGGAUGACCUGUGGUUAGGAGUGAAAGGCUAAUCAAACCGGGAGAUAGCUGGUUCUCCCCGAAAUCUAUUUAGGUAGAGCCUCGGACGAAUACUUACGGGGGUAGAGCACUGUUAAGGCUAGGGGGUCAUCCCGACUUACCAACCCUUUGCAAACUCCGAAUACCGUAAAGUACUAUCCGGGAGACACACGGCGGGUGCUAACGUCCGUCGUGAAGAGGGAAACAACCCAGACCGCCAGCUAAGGUCCCAAAGUCAUAGUUAAGUGGGAAACGAUGUGGAAAGGCCCAGACAGCCAGGAGGUUGGCUUAGAAGCAGCCAUCCUUUAAAGAAAGCGUAAUAGCUCACUGGUCGAGUCGGUCUGCGCGGAAGAUGUAACGGGGCUAAACUAUGCACCGAAGCUGCGGAUUCA
RNAcentral lists this ribosomal RNA (893 nucleotides) under Pseudoalteromonas sp. S4741. RNAcentral describes it as "partial 23S ribosomal RNA". It matches the Rfam family "Bacterial large subunit ribosomal RNA", at positions 305 to 1210 of the family's 2925-position model. Lineage: Bacteria; Pseudomonadati; Pseudomonadota; Gammaproteobacteria; Alteromonadales; Pseudoalteromonadaceae. The record is from RNAcentral.